RNAcentral lists this ribosomal RNA (419 nucleotides) under uncultured ammonia-oxidizing beta proteobacterium. RNAcentral's name for it is "bacterial SSU rRNA". It matches the Rfam family "Bacterial small subunit ribosomal RNA", at positions 197 to 597 of the family's 1533-position model. The record is from RNAcentral. Lineage: Bacteria; Pseudomonadati; Pseudomonadota; Betaproteobacteria.
UGGAGGAAAGCAGGGGAUCGCAAGACCUUGCGCUUUUGGAGUGGCCGAUGCCUGAUUAGCUAGUUGGUGGGGUAAUGGCCUACCAAGGCGACGAUCAGUAGUUGGUCUGAGAGGACGACCAGCCACACUGGGACUGAGACACGGCCCAGACUCCUACGGGAGGUAGCAGUGGGGAAUUUUGGACAAUGGGCGAAAGCCUGAUCCAGCAAUGCCGCGUGAGUGAAGAAGGCCUUCGGGUUGUAAAGCUCUUUCAGUCGAGAAGAAAAGGUUGUGACUAAUAAUCACAACUCAUGACGGUAUCGACAGAAGAAGCACCGGCUAACUACGUGCCAGCAGCCGCGGUAAUACGUAGGGUGCGAGCGUUAAUCGGAAUUACUGGGCGUAAAGGGUGCGCAGGCGGCUUUGUAAGUCAGAUGUGA